CAGUAGCCGCGGGAAUACAGAGGGUGCAAGCGUUAAUCGGAAUUACUGGGCGUAAAGCGCGCGUAGGUGGUUUGUUAAGUCGAAUGUGAAAUCCCCGGGCUCAACCUGGGAACUGCAUCCGAAACUGGCAAGCUAGAGUAUGGUAGAGGGUAGUGGAAUUUCCUGUGUAGCGGUGAAAUGCGUAGAUAUAGGAAGGAACACCAGUGGCGAAGGCGACUACCUGGACUGAUACUGACACUGAGGUGCGAAAGCGUGGGGAGCAAACAGGAUUAGAUACCCCGGUAGUCCCUGUCUCUUAUAC
This 301-nucleotide ribosomal RNA is filed under the name uncultured bacterium. RNAcentral's name for it is "partial 16S ribosomal RNA". It matches the Rfam family "Bacterial small subunit ribosomal RNA", at positions 509 to 807 of the family's 1533-position model. The record is from RNAcentral.